This 1079-nucleotide long non-coding RNA is filed under the name Apteryx rowi (Okarito brown kiwi). RNAcentral describes it as "lncRNA (ENSARWG00000014048.1)". The record is from RNAcentral. Lineage: Eukaryota; Metazoa; Chordata; Aves; Apterygiformes; Apterygidae.
UCACAUGUGUUCUCCCCACCCCUCUGCACACACGUGUGCACCUGGUUCCCCCCGGGUCAUGUGUGUUCUCCCUCCUCCUCCCCUCCUGCAGGGGGUGGGACUGGCAUGGGGGGGCGUGGCCAGUGGGCGGGGUAGAAAAUGGGGAGGGAUGUGGCUCACUGGGGAGCAGUGCUGCUGUGGGAGGGCGUGGCUGGAUGGCAGUGGGGGUGUGGCCAGCAGGGAGACCUGAGCCAAUGGGGCAUGGCCAGUGGCAGGGGCGUGGCUAAGCAGGGAGGGUCAGUGGCUGGGCAGGAGAGGUGCAGGGAAAGGGGUGGAAAAUGGGGGGUGUGACCAGGUGGGGGCAUGGCCAGGGAAGCAGGCCAAUGGGGUCAUUGCUUGCUGGGGGCAUGUCCAGGGGGCAGGGAGCAAGGGCAGCAGGGGGGGCAAAGGAGGUGGGUUGCUGAGGUGGAGGCGUGGCCAGCACAGGGCAGGCCCAAUCAGGUGGGCCCUGGCUGGCAGAGGGCAUGGCCAAGGGAGUCAGGGGCGUGGCCAGCAGGCAGGGCCAGGCCAGUGCGUGACAGAGGGGGCAGGGUCACCGGCAGGGCCAGCCGAUGGGGAGCAUCCCAGGUGGGGGGGUGCGGCCAGCGGGGCUGGGAGGGAGGGGAGGGUGAGCCAAGAGGGCAGAUCCUGGCUGGGGAGGGGAGUGGUGGGGAGAGGGGUCAUGGUGCAGCUAGGGAGCAGGGCUCAGUGGGGAGGGGGGCAGGGCUAAGCAGGCAGGGCAUAGCCAGGCAGGGGGCAUGGCUGGGCAGGUGGGGGCAUGGCCAGCAGGGAGGGGGCACGACCACCCACAGCAGCCAGCCCUCUCCCCGCAGGACCCCCAUUGCCUGUAAGGGGGAGUGGUGCGGUUUGGGGGCGUGGCCUCCUCAGGGGGCAUGGCCUAACACGUGCCCCCCUCCCCCCCCCCACGCAGUGGCGUCCUCCUGCGCAGCCUUGCUCUCCGGCAGCGCCUCAGGCGAGGGCAGCCAGGGCCAGAGCGGCCUUGCUGGGCGCCUGCUGAAGCCAGGCCCCAAAAUGCUGCUGAUUUGUCCCAAAAAACCUCN